AUUGAACGCUGGCGGCAGGCCUAACACAUGCAAGUCGAACGGUAGCACAGAGAGCUUGCUCUCGGGUGACGAGUGGCGGACGGGUGAGUAAUGUCUGGGAAACUGCCCGAUGGAGGGGGAUAACUACUGGAAACGGUAGCUAAUACCGCAUAACGUCGCAAGACCAAAGUGGGGGACCUUCGGGCCUCACACCAUCGGAUGUGCCCGGAUGGGAUUAGCUAGUAGGUGGGGUAAUGGCUCACCUAGGCGACGAUCCCUAGCUGGUCUGAGAGGAUGAACAGCCCAAAUGGAACGGAGACACGGGCCAGACGCCGACGGGGGGCAGCAGUGGGGAAUAUUGCACAAUGGGCGCAAGCCUGAUGCAGCCAUGCCGCGUGUAUGAAGAAGGCCUUCGGGUUGUAAAGUACUUUCAGCGGGGGGGAAGGCGGUGAAGUUAAUAGCUUCACCGAUUGACGUUACCCGCAGAAGAAGCACCGGCUAACUCCGUGCCAGCAGCCGCCGUAA
RNAcentral lists this ribosomal RNA (504 nucleotides) under uncultured bacterium. RNAcentral describes it as "partial 16S ribosomal RNA". It matches the Rfam family "Bacterial small subunit ribosomal RNA", at positions 29 to 523 of the family's 1533-position model. The record is from RNAcentral.